Molecule: ribosomal RNA, 1412 nt
Filed under: uncultured Bacilli bacterium
Lineage: Bacteria; Bacillati; Bacillota; Bacilli
Description: 16S ribosomal RNA
Rfam family: Bacterial small subunit ribosomal RNA
Source: RNAcentral
ACGAACGCUGGCGGCGUGCCUAAUACAUGCAAGUCGAACGAGUCCUCCCAAUUUGAUUUUAUGCUUGCAUAAAUGAUUUUUGGAUUCGGGACGAGUGGCGAACUGGUGAGUAACACGUGGGUAACCUGCCCUAAAGCAGGGGAUAACAUUUGGAAACAGAUGCUAAUACCGUAUAAUUAGUUGGAACCACAUGGUUCCAACUUGAAAGAUGGUUCUGCUAUCACUUUAGGAUGGACCCGCGGCGUAUUAGCUAGUUGGUGAGAUAAAAGCUCACCAAGGCGAUGAUACGUAGCCGACCUGAGAGGGUAAUCGGCCACAUUGGGACUGAGACACGGCCCAGACUCCUACGGGAGGCAGCAGUAGGGAAUCUUCCACAAUGGACGCAAGUCUGAUGGAGCAACGCCGCGUGAGUGAAGAAGGGUUUCGGCUCGUAAAACUCUGUUGUUAAAGAAGAACAAGUGUAAGAGUAACUGUUUACGCUUUGACGGUAUUUAACCAGAAAGCCACGGCUAACUACGUGCCAGCAGCCGCGGUAAUACGUAGGUGGCAAGCGUUGUCCGGAUUUAUUGGGCGUAAAGCGAGCGCAGGUGGUCUUUUAAGUCUGUUGUGAAAGCCCUCAGCUCAACUGAGGAAGUGCAGCGGAAACUAGGAGACUUGAGUACAGAAGAGGAUAGUGGAACUCCAUGUGUAGCGGUGAAAUGCGUAGAUAUAUGGGAAGAACACCAGUGGCGAAGGCGGCUAUCUGGUCUGUUACUGACACUGAGGCUCGAAAGCAUGGGUAGCGAACAGGAUUAGAUACCCUGGUAGUCCAUGCCGUAAACGAUGAAUACUAGGUGUUGGAGGGUUUCCGCCUUUCAGUGCCGCAGCUAACGCAUUAAGUAUUCCGCCUGGGGAGUACGACCGCAAGGUUGAAACUCAAAGGAAUUGACGGGGGCCCGCACAAGUGGUGGAGCAUGUGGUUUAAUUCGAUGCUACGCGAAGAACCUUACCAGGUCUUGACAUCUUCUGCCAACCUAAGAGAUUAGGCGUUCCCUUCGGGGACAGAAUGACAGGUGGUGCAUGGUUGUCGUCAGCUCGUGUCGUGAGAUGUUGGGUUAAGUCCCGCAACGAGCGCAACCCUUAUUAUUAGUUGCCAGCAUUAAGUUGGGCACUCUAGUGAGACUGCCGGUGAUAAACCGGAGGAAGGUGGGGAUGACGUCAAAUCAUCAUGCCCCUUAUGACCUGGGCUACACACGUGCUACAAUGGAUGGUACAACGAGUCGCGAAACCGCGAGGUCAAGCUAAUCUCUUAAAGCCAUUCUCAGUUCGGAUUGCAGGCUGCAACUCGCCUGCAUGAAGUUGGAAUCACUAGUAAUCGUGGAUCAGCAUGCCACGGUGAAUACGUUCCCGGGCCUUGUACACACCGCCCGUCA